RNAcentral lists this ribosomal RNA (423 nucleotides) under uncultured bacterium. Its description in RNAcentral is "partial 16S ribosomal RNA". It matches the Rfam family "Bacterial small subunit ribosomal RNA", at positions 360 to 774 of the family's 1533-position model. The record is from RNAcentral.
AAUCUUCCGCAAUGGACGCAAGUCUGACGGAGCAACGCCGCGUGAGUGAUGAAGGUUUUCGGAUCGUAAAACUCUGUUGUUAGGGAAGAACAAGUACCGUUCGAAUAGGUCGGUACCUUGACGGUACCUAACCAGAAAGCCACGGCUACCUACGUGCCAGCAGCCGCAGUAAUCCGUAGGUGGCAAGCGUUAUCCGGAAUUAUGGGGCGUAAAGCGCGCGCAGGCGGUUUCUUAAGUCCGAUGUGAAAGCCCACGGCUCAACCGGGGAGGGUCAUUGGAAACUGGGGAACUUGAGUGCAGAAGAGGAGAGUGGAAUUCCAUGUGUAGCGGUGAAAUGCGUAGAGAUAUGGAGGAACACCAGUGGCGAAGGCGACUCUCUGGUCUGAAACUGACGCUGGGGCGCGAAAGCGUGGGGAGCAAACA